RNAcentral lists this long non-coding RNA (444 nucleotides) under Bos mutus (wild yak). RNAcentral describes it as "lncRNA (ENSBMUG00000007981.1)". The record is from RNAcentral. Lineage: Eukaryota; Metazoa; Chordata; Mammalia; Artiodactyla; Bovidae.
CUCGAGUGGAUUUCCACGCGGAAAGGAUGUUGGCGGUCCCGGUGACCUGCGGAGACACGGUUGGAGCCACCUUUCUGCUGAGCAGUGAUUUCAGAAGUGUUCUGAGGUCCCGUGGAAGAUCUGCCUCUCUCCAGCCGUGGGUUCUCUGCAUUCUCGAGCAUCUCAGGGUCCAGAAGAAAAAGAAGAAAGCCUGCCAGUUCUGGGAGCAGUUUGGAUGAAGAGAGGUAGUGUCUUGUUUUGUGUUCUGCUUGAUUCCUGAACUCGACUCCCACGAGCCAGUUAAGGCAGAGCCAGAAGAAAUGGUGUCUUGGCGACCCAAGAGACACAUAUUUGCUUGCUCAUAUGCUGUUGUGAGAAUGAUGGCACUUGCUCAACACGGAGUACAAAGACACUGUUAAGGGAGUCCCUGCCAGUCUCUGAACAGGGCAGGUACACCAGGGGCCA